CCUACGGGUGGCAGCAGUGGGGAAUAUUGGUCAAUGGGGGAAACCCUUAUCCAGCGACGCCGCGUGAGGGAAGAAGGUCUUCGGAUUGUAAACCUCUGUCAGUGGGGACGAUAAUGUCGGUACCUACGGAGGAAGCCAUGGCCAACUACGUGCCAGCAGCCGCGGUAAUACGGAGGUGGCAAGCGUUGUCCGGAAUUACUGGGUGUAAAGGGAGCGUAGGCGGGAUGUCAAGUCAGAAGGGAAAAUUAUGGGCUCAACUCAUAACCUGCUUUUGAAACUGAUAUUCUUGAGUGAAGUAGAGGCAAGCGGAAUUCGUGGUGUAGCGGUGAAAUGCGUAGAUAUUAGGAGGAACACCAGUGGCGAAGGCGGCUUGCUGGACUUUUACUGACGCUGAGGCUCGAAAGCGUGGGGAGCAAACAGGAUUAGAUACCCGGGUAGUC
This 440-nucleotide ribosomal RNA is filed under the name uncultured bacterium. RNAcentral describes it as "partial 16S ribosomal RNA". It matches the Rfam family "Bacterial small subunit ribosomal RNA", at positions 338 to 795 of the family's 1533-position model. The record is from RNAcentral.